Molecule: ribosomal RNA, 308 nt
Filed under: uncultured eukaryote
Lineage: Eukaryota
Description: partial 18S ribosomal RNA
Rfam family: Eukaryotic small subunit ribosomal RNA
Source: RNAcentral
CCCUUAGACGUUCUGGGCCGCACGCGCGCUACACUGACGAAGGCAACGAGCUUUCCUUUACCGAAAGGUACGGGUAAUCUUUUGAAACUUCGUCGUGCUGGGGAUAGAUCCUUGCAAUUUUUGAUCUUAAACGAGGAAUUCCUAGUAAGCGCAAGUCAUCAACUUGCGUUGAUUACGUCCCUGCCCUUUGUACACACCGCCCGUCGCUACUACCGAUUGAAUGGUUUAGUGAGGCCUUCGGAUCCGCGACUCGUUUUGUGGAGAAGUUGGACAAACUCAGUCGUUUAGAGGAAGUAAAAGUCGUAACA